This 1295-nucleotide ribosomal RNA is filed under the name Lacticaseibacillus rhamnosus. RNAcentral describes it as "bacterial SSU rRNA". It matches the Rfam family "Bacterial small subunit ribosomal RNA", at positions 48 to 1327 of the family's 1533-position model. The record is from RNAcentral. Lineage: Bacteria; Bacillati; Bacillota; Bacilli; Lactobacillales; Lactobacillaceae.
CGAGUUCUGAUUAUUGAAAGGUGCUUGCAUCUUGAUUUAAUUUUGAACGAGUGGCGGACGGGUGAGUAACACGUGGGUAACCUGCCCUUAAGUGGGGGAUAACAUUUGGAAACAGAUGCUAAUACCGCAUAAAUCCAAGAACCGCAUGGUUCUUGGCUGAAAGAUGGCGUAAGCUAUCGCUUUUGGAUGGACCCGCGGCGUAUUAGCUAGUUGGUGAGGUAACGGCUCACCAAGGCAAUGAUACGUAGCCGAACUGAGAGGUUGAUCGGCCACAUUGGGACUGAGACACGGCCCAAACUCCUACGGGAGGCAGCAGUAGGGAAUCUUCCACAAUGGACGCAAGUCUGAUGGAGCAACGCCGCGUGAGUGAAGAAGGCUUUCGGGUCGUAAAACUCUGUUGUUGGAGAAGAAUGGUCGGCAGAGUAACUGUUGUCGGCGUGACGGUAUCCAACCAGAAAGCCACGGCUAACUACGUGCCAGCAGCCGCGGUAAUACGUAGGUGGCAAGCGUUAUCCGGAUUUAUUGGGCGUAAAGCGAGCGCAGGCGGUUUUUUAAGUCUGAUGUGAAAGCCCUCGGCUUAACCGAGGAAGUGCAUCGGAAACUGGGAAACUUGAGUGCAGAAGAGGACAGUGGAACUCCAUGUGUAGCGGUGAAAUGCGUAGAUAUAUGGAAGAACACCAGUGGCGAAGGCGGCUGUCUGGUCUGUAACUGACGCUGAGGCUCGAAAGCAUGGGUAGCGAACAGGAUUAGAUACCCUGGUAGUCCAUGCCGUAAACGAUGAAUGCUAGGUGUUGGAGGGUUUCCGCCCUUCAGUGCCGCAGCUAACGCAUUAAGCAUUCCGCCUGGGGAGUACGACCGCAAGGUUGAAACUCAAAGGAAUUGACGGGGGCCCGCACAAGCGGUGGAGCAUGUGGUUUAAUUCGAAGCAACGCGAAGAACCUUACCAGGUCUUGACAUCUUUUGAUCACCUGAGAGAUCAGGUUUCCCCUUCGGGGGCAAAAUGACAGGUGGUGCAUGGUUGUCGUCAGCUCGUGUCGUGAGAUGUUGGGUUAAGUCCCGCAACGAGCGCAACCCUUAUGACUAGUUGCCAGCAUUUAGUUGGGCACUCUAGUAAGACUGCCGGUGACAAACCGGAGGAAGGUGGGGAUGACGUCAAAUCAUCAUGCCCCUUAUGACCUGGGCUACACACGUGCUACAAUGGAUGGUACAACGAGUUGCGAGACCGCGAGGUCAAGCUAAUCUCUUAAAGCCAUUCUCAGUUCGGACUGUAGGCUGCAACUCGCCUACACGAAGUC